Salvia hispanica is the source of this 3081-nucleotide non-coding RNA. NCBI's taxonomy places the organism in Eukaryota, Viridiplantae, Streptophyta, Magnoliopsida, Lamiales, Lamiaceae. The record is from RefSeq and is a predicted model, not a curated record.
UCAAAGCCCCAUAAAUAUCACACCCACACACAUAUACUAAAACUAAAAACAUGGCAGCAGGUACAACUAGACAAUGCACUGGCCGUUUCAUGGACAUAGAGCCCAUGAAAUUUUCUCUCUCAUCCCCAACUGCAAUUGCAAGACAAUCAAUCCAUCUCCCUCAUCAUAGAUAUAAGGAGCUCAGCUCCUUGUCCAUGAAUGGCUGCAGCGGCGAUCCUCGAGCCCCUCUCGGCCUUAUCGAAACCCGGACGCUUGGGGCUGCCCCCACUCCGGCUGUGGCAGCCGACCGCCUCAACUCCGCUCUCUAUGACCUCAAGACCGCCUCUCCGACGUCGGAUUCCGGCAUUAUUAGGAUUGAGGUUCCGAUCGUGCAGCAGAUAGAAGCUCUUGAGUGGCUGUCUUGCCAAAAUCACAGUACUCUCCUUCCUCGCUGUUACUUUUCCGGCAGAGAUUCCAACGAUAUCGACCACAACGAUACUUCUCAGAAGCAGAAGCUGGUCAGUGUUGCCGGCCUUGGCUCUGCUGUCUCCUUCCGCCAUCUCCGCCCCUUCUCCUUGGACGAUUGGCAUUCCAUCAAAAGGUUCUUGUCCAAGAAUAGUCCAUUGAUCCGUGCUUAUGGCGCAAUGCGAUUUGAUGCAAGGUCUGAUAUAGCUCCCGAGUGGGAGGGUUUCGGUUCUUUCUACUUCAUGGUCCCUCAGGUUGAGUUCAAUGAGUUCCAAGGAAGUUCGAUGAUCGCAGCUACUAUCGCAUGGGACAAUUGCCUGUCAAGGACCUACGAAGAAGCUAUUGCUGCACUUGAGGCAACCAUGUGGCAGGUUUCGUCUCUUGUCCAGCGAAUAAACGGAACUAGCCAUCGUGCUGUUGUGCUCAACCAGGCUCAUGUUCCCAAUAAAGCUUCAUGGGAUUCAGCUGUUAAGCAAGCUCUGGACAUAAUAACUACGAAAAACUCAUCGCUCGUUAAGGUUGUCCUCGCACGUAGCAGCAGAGUAUUGACCACAGUAGAGAUUGACCCUUUGGAGUGGCUCACAAGCUUACAGGUGGAAGGGGUCAAUGCUUAUCAGUUCUGUCUUCAGCCUCCCGAAUCGCCAGCAUUCAUUGGCAACACUCCAGAGCGACUAUUCUAUCGAAACCGACUCAGUGUCUGCAGUGAGGCUUUGGCUGGAACACGAGCUAGAGGUGGAACUGAGUCUCUGGAUUUACAGAUAGGACAAGAUUUACUUUCUAGUGCCAAAGAUCACCACGAGUUCUCUGUAGUACGAGAAAGUAUUAGAACAAAGUUCGAGGAUGUUUGUACCUCCACAGUUGUUAAGCCUAGCAAGGUUCUACGUAAACUUCCACGCGUUCAACAUCUUUAUGCGAAACUGACUGGCACACUGCAGAAAGAAGAUGAUGAGUUUAAGAUUUUGUCUUCCCUGCAUCCAACUCCUGCUGUGUGUGGCCUUCCUUCAGAGGAGGCGCGGGUGUUGAUAUCAAAAACUGAAAUGUUUGAUCGUGGAAUGUAUGCCGGCCCUGUUGGAUGGUUUGGUGGUGCAGAGAGUGAGUUUGCUGUGGGAAUAAGGUCAGCACUGGUUGGAAAGGAUUCUGGCGCGAUACUCUAUGCUGGAACUGGGAUCGUAGAAGGAAGCGAUUCUUCCCUAGAAUGGAAAGAACUGGAGCUGAAGACUUCACAGUUCACCAAACUGAUGAAACACGAGGCACCUCUUGUGCCAGUGAGGGAGAUAGUCGAACUCUAACUUGAAAAGGGCCAAUCUUGAAUUUGGUCUGAUAACAUAUCAGGGGACUUCUGCAAAUCUGUGGUUAGGAUUGUUUGAUAAAUCCAUAACUACGUCUUCACCACUCUUCGUCUACGCCAUCUUCGUGCCUGGUUCAGUUUGCCAAUGCCUUCUCCGACUGCAUACAACAACCUAAAAUAAGCAUAUACACAAUGUACCUUUUCUUUUUUUUCCUUCUUUUUAACUCUAUACAUAAGAUAAUGUAAAAUCAAGCAUAAAAGAGCAGUUCCCCAGUAUCAAUAAAAUAGUGGUAUUGUUUUAGAUUUUUUAUCAUUUUAAUAAUUAUUAACUUAAUGAAUUACAAAGCCAAGCAAAGAAUAAGUAAAAGGCUCUGUGUCUUGGCCAAAACCAAACAUGGAAAGUUAGGAUCAGAUACAAGUUGUAUUGGUCAAGUAAAGUUAGAUUUUGAUUCUGUUUUAUAAGCUUCAGCUAACCAUCAAACAUCAUUUUCAAUUUGCAUAGCAAAAUUUUGCCAAAAAAAUAUCAUAAAUGGAAAGGAGAAACCCCAGAAAUAUGAAAUAUGAGUAUGUUUUGCCUUCCUCUUGGUGGACAGAGACUGUUGAUUCCCAUUGUUUGCUCCUUCAUGUUCCAGUUUUGAUGUGCAAGGAUUCAAGAAGGAUGAAGUGAGGAUUCGAACAGAUAGCCACGGCCACGUCAUUGUGAGCGGAGAAAGGGAGGCCAACGACAACACCAUCCUACAUUUCGAGCAGGCAUAUAAAGUACCAGAAGGUUGUAACAUCGAAGAAACCAAUGCCAUCUUAGAGGACGAGACCUACUACAUUACUAUAGCCAAGAAAAACGACUCCAAAGUCGAGAACUCAAUCCGAGGCUCAGCUCAGGGAGACCUUAAAGCUCAAGACAGCCCUUCCGACAGCGCAGAAGAGAACACCAACAAGAAUGAUUCAAUUGGAGAGAGGCCGGAGAGCAGUUUCUUGCAGAAAAUGUCGAAUAUGAUGAAGACGGGGGGAAGCCUUGUUUUGACAUCUUUACUAGCAUUUUCAUUGGGAGUUUUUGUUUCUCACCAUUACCAGUCGACUCCACAGAAAGACAACAAGAAAAGAGCAGCAGAUGACGCGAAGAAAGAUGGAGUCUUUCCGAACUUUCUCAAGAGAUAACGAGCUAAGAAUAUCCCAGGAAAGCAGCAGAAGCAACAUCGGAUAGAGGACCUUUUUAUCUAACAAGGAUCAGAUUCCAAAAUUAGUCCACAAAUUCGAAAAAGUCGAAAUACUACGAUGACUAAGCUUCUUGUAAAGGGGUGUUCAGUUUGCAAGAUUUUAUCCGAGAUUAAAUUUUUAGUGUGUUUGGUUCA